AAAACUUCAAGUAUUUAGGUAUAUACGGAAAAACCAAAUGCCCACUUAUAGAUAUGUCGAAGGGUCGUAGCCCCCGAGCCUUGAUUGAUGGCGCUCGUCCUCCGAAUAGGUCUCCCCUAUAUGCGAAAUAACUAAAUAAACGUUAUUUAAAGCACAUACACAAAACUAGGAAAUAACUUCUCAUACAUUGCUCAAAUGGGGUAUUUGAAUAUACAACCAUGACCUACUCAACCUCAGGAACACCCCUAUAUUUUUAGAAAAAAAUUUCGGGCACCCACGCGACCUCACGAGCCGGCCAAGGCACGGCCAGACAUGCGGCCCACACGUAGGCACAAGCUUGGAACGCCAAACAAAUUCCCUAACGACGUUAGGGAAUAUUCCAUUAAAUAUAAGUAUAUACUGUUAAAUAUACCUGACGCUGUUAAUCACCAUGAGGAAUAUUCCAUCAAAGUUCACGGAAUAUUUGUCUUCUUCGUCGACGAGUCAUCGGAUUCUGUUGUCGUCGCCGGAAAAUGGGAAAAAAUUCUAAACUUCAUAUCUUCUUCAUUUCUAAACCAAAAUUCAUGAAAUUUGUACCAAAAUGAAGCUUACAACGAGUAGAACAAAACGUUACCAAUUUUAAGCCCUAAAAUCCACGGGAUCUUGUCGGAAAAAGGAACGAUAAUCUGGCCACCUCUGCAACUCGUCGAACCCGAGCCUCCCCACGUCCAAAUAACUCCAAAGUUACUCCCUGAGCUUCAUGAAGAUGUUUUAAGGCUUCCUACCUGAGCCUCACGAUUGGGGUUAUCUGGUUUUCGGGUUUUACGAGCUCUCACGUCGAACUAAAGGUAUGGAUGAGCUCUUGAGCUCACAAUGAACACAAAGACCACCUUCACAGCCUUGAUUCGUGCCUGCAAAGGUUGGUUUGAAGUUUUUCCGUACAAUUGUACUGAAAUGGAAAGGGAGAAGAGAGGGAGAGAGAGAGUCAACGUGUGUGUCUGUGGGUGUAUGUGUGGUCCGGAUUGGUCCCCAAACAAAAACAAGAAAAUAACUUAAGUUUGAAACACUUAGGAAUAAAAGAAAUGGAUCCAAAUCCUAAGCUUAGACCCCACAACCCCACAAAACGUUCAAGGGUACUUUAGUCAUUUCAUGCCACAAAAAAAAUAAUUCAGGACGGGCUAUGACAAUCCUUGUUUAAAAUAAAUUAUUUUUAUUCUAUAAUUAUUAAAAAUUAAGUUUAUCUAAUUAAAUAUAUCCAUAAACAAAGCUUUUUAUAAGAUCAUUAUUUCCAAACUUUUUAUAAGAUCGUUAUUUCCAAAGCUACUUCUCCUCUUUCAUCUCAAGCUUAUUUAUCCCAACCUUUUUUUCCCAGGCCCUUCAUCUCAAGUAAACUAAAAUAAAAUUGUACUUCCUUCUCUCACUUCCCCUUUCUUUCCCCAAUCUUUGCCUGCAACUCCUUUCUUUCCCCAGUACACACCACGAAGCCACAACCCACCCCAUCAACAAAAAAAAAAAAAACAAAAGAAAAAAAAAAUCCAAUUUUCAAGGUGAAUGUGAUAAAAGUUCUUUCCUUUGCUUCUGUUUGGGUCUACAAAUCAUAAUGUCCUUGAGGAUUUGGGCGUUCGUUGUUCUAGAUCACGUUCAUCGUUGUGGCGUCAUUUCAAACCUCGGGCGAUCAUUGUUCCAGACCACGUUCAUUGUUGUGGCGUCAUUUCAAAUCUCGAGUGAUCAUUGUUCCAAAUCAUAGCGUUCGUCGUUCAGUGCUACAACAUCAUUUUAGAUUGCGAAGGCGGAGUGGUAUGUGCUGUGAGAGAAACAAAUACAUAGGGGAGUGAUCGAUGAAGGUAGGAGUUGUUUUAGGAAUAUACAUGGGUAUUUUGGGUAGAAAACUUUGAUUUGUGAUGGAGCCCUCUACCUGGAAUUCAAUUACCACUUCUACAGAGGUAAUCCAAUUUUGGAAAAAUCCGGAAUUGAACUCCUAAAAUUGGGUGGAUCCCACAUAAAAUCUGAUUCCCCAAUUGCUAGUAAACGGCAGAAUGCUUCGGGAGAAAUUCAAUUUCGUUUCUCUCUAUUCCACUCUUGAUUGGUAAACAAGCCAUUAAUCAAUUUUCAUCAUCACUCACACAUCACAAUCAUUUUCCCUUCUUUUUGGCAUGUUCCCUCACGUGACUCUCUUUCACUCUCUCCUUCUUUUUUCUUGCCCUCUCUCUUUUCUCUCUCUCUCUCUCUCUCUCUCUCUUCCCUCUAACUCUAUCUAUCUCCUUCCCAACUACUCUUCUUCACUGCAAACCAAAAUCACCACCACCAUAGGCUAACAAUUCCAGCGAGCUACACUCCCAAUCAUAGUAUCUCUCUUUUGUCAGUCUCAUACGCUCCCCACUCCCUUUUUCUGUACUACUGUCCUUCCUACCAUUGUGGUGAAGUAGGGAAGCAUGAAUUGUCAUUGUUACGAAUUCGAAGGCUGGUAUUUGUGAUGGCGAUGAUGAUGAAUUGAUGAAUGGAUGAUUUUAAUCAAGCGAAAUGCUAAGGGACACACUCUCUCUCUGUGUGUGUGUGCUCACUGCACAAGUUUUGAAUCACUCAAUUUCAUUGAGUGUUGACAAAGUUAUGGAUGUUUAAAGUUUGUCCAGUUUUUUGGUGAGUUAGUUUCAGAAGGACCAGUCGCCUUUCAGGCCAUUUUUUGGCCAUCUCCGGCCACUUUUGGAACUCUAAAUAGGGACAAUCUUGUUCUAC
RNAcentral lists this long non-coding RNA (2712 nucleotides) under Malus domestica (apple). Its description in RNAcentral is "long non-coding RNA (MDOM_LNC020151)". The record is from RNAcentral. Lineage: Eukaryota; Viridiplantae; Streptophyta; Magnoliopsida; Rosales; Rosaceae.